UAUCUCUGUAGAGUCUGCAUAUCAAUAAGCGGAGGAAAAGAAACUAACUAGGAUUCCCUCAGUAACGGCGAGUGAAGCGGGAAGAGCUCAAAUUUGAAAUCUUCAAGGUUCUACCUUGACGAAUUGUAGUUUAAAGAAGUGUUUUCUGUUGGAGUUUUGGUAAAAGUUCUUUGGAAUAGGACAUCAUAGAGGGUGAGAAUCCCGUAUUUGACCAUUACUUUCCAGCUUUGUGAUACACUUUCAAAGAGUCGGAUUGUUUGGGAAUGCAGUCCAAAAUGGGUGGUAAAUUUCAUCUAAAGCUAAAUAUUGGCGAGAGACCGAUAGCGAACAAGUACCGUGAGGGAAAGAUGAAAAGAACUUUGAAAAGAGAGUUAAACAGUACGUGAAAUUGUCAAAAGGGAAGCGUUUGACACCAGUGUUGUUUUCUCGAAAAUCAGAUUAAAAAAGGCAGGAUUUUGUGUUGUAUUGACUUUAUCAGCUUUCUGCACUCUUUUCUUGUCUUUUUUAAUGCACUUUUCGUUUAACAAGUCAACAUCAAUUUCUUUUGUUGUAAAAGGGUCAUUGGAAGGUGGCUUUCUUUUCGGAGAAAGUGUUUAUAGCCUUUGGCCUCUGCAAUCGGAGAGAUUGAGGUCUGCAGCGUAGAUCCUUCGGGGUUAGAUACAUUUGUGCUAAGUUAUAGCCUUUCAUAGACAACUUGUUGACUAUGAUCAGUCAUGUAGCUUACUCGCUUAUGCUAUUUUACCUACGCUUAGGAUGUUGAAGUCAUCGUAUCGCGC
This 776-nucleotide ribosomal RNA is filed under the name uncultured Neocallimastigales. Its description in RNAcentral is "partial large subunit ribosomal RNA". It matches the Rfam family "Eukaryotic large subunit ribosomal RNA", at positions 24 to 645 of the family's 3401-position model. The record is from RNAcentral. Lineage: Eukaryota; Fungi; Neocallimastigomycota; Neocallimastigomycetes; Neocallimastigales.